This 468-nucleotide ribosomal RNA is filed under the name uncultured bacterium. RNAcentral describes it as "partial 16S ribosomal RNA". It matches the Rfam family "Bacterial small subunit ribosomal RNA", at positions 28 to 507 of the family's 1533-position model. The record is from RNAcentral.
GACGAACGCUGGCGGCGUGCUUAACACAUGCAAGUCGAACGGAAAGGCCCUGCUUUUGUGGGGUGCUCGAGUGGCGAACGGGUGAGUAACACGUGAGUAACCUGCCCUUGACUUUGGGAUAACUUCAGGAAACUGGGGCUAAUACCGGAUAGGAGCUCCUGCUGCAUGGUGGGGGUUGGAAAGUUUCGGCGGUUGGGGAUGUACUCGCGGCUUAUCAGCUGGUUGGUGGGGUAGUGGCUUACCAAGGCUUUGACGGGUAGCCGGCCUGAGAGGGUGAACGGCGACAUUGGGACUGAGAUACGGACCAGACUCCUACGGGAGGCAGCAGUGGGGAAUAUUGCACAAUGGGCGGAAGCCUGAGGCAGCAACGCCGCGUGCGGGAUGACGGCCUUCGGGUUGUAAACCGCUUUCGCCUGUGACGAAGCGUGAGUGACGGUAAUGGGUAAAGAAGCACCGGCUAACUACGUG